UGAUGGACGCAGCGAUGUAUUUUCCCAGAGAGGAGCGGAGCUUCAUUUUCUUCAACACUGAACCUCCGAGUGUCUGCGCUGCUUAAAGGAAAACUACAAACCACAGUACAACAUUCAUUUCAACAACAACAAUAGAGCAGAGCAGCACCCUGGAGACCAGACCCAGAUCGUAUACACUGAAACAGAGCUUUUAUUGGAGCCCAGUAGAAAACCCCACCACACUGUGUGCAUAAGACACCGGGUCAGAGGUGUGAUAGAGGGCAAAAAGGAGGAUAUGAAAGGACCUCUUUUUGUUUGUGCAUGGUUGUGUGCGUCUGACUGCGAGUUGUGUAAUUUCUUACUUGCCGGACAGUAUGUCUUGUCUAAGCUGCAGUACAAAGAGAUACCUGCAAAAUCAACAGUUUGAAAGUUAGACAGUUCAAAUACGACAUUUCAUUUUUAUGACAUGCUUUAUAUUUUUCAUACUUUUACACACUGUAUAAUCAAUUGAAGAGUAGAUGUGCAAUGGAUAGGAAGCAGGAACAUUUUAAACUCAACAGAUAGCUGUAAAAAUGCAGGACGACUUGACACAACAGUCAUGAUGUCCAUCUGCAUGUGUAUAGCUGGAGUGGUGGUGCUUUAAAUGCACAAUAUGUAAGAGUUUUAUUUUAUUAUAUCCAAAACUCACUCACAUAAGUGUUAUUUUGUUCAUAAUUGUGUACUUGCAUCCCAAAGUGUGAGAAUUUUAACCAGCGUUUUUACCAGAAAGUUUUAACUAGCAUUACGCACCUAUUCAUAGGGUCGCUUGUCAAUGUGCAGGUUAUCCCUGGUUUCUGCUUGUACUGCCAUAGAAACCAAAGGCAUGUUUAACUUCAUGUAGCACUGUGCAGACCAAUCGGCGUGUGACAUCAAA
Molecule: long non-coding RNA, 892 nt
Organism: Misgurnus anguillicaudatus (oriental weatherfish)
Lineage: Eukaryota; Metazoa; Chordata; Actinopteri; Cypriniformes; Cobitidae
Source: RefSeq, a predicted model, not a curated record